AGUGAACGCUGGCGGUAGGCCUAACACAUGCAAGUCGAACGGCAGCACAGUAAGAGCUUGCUCUUACGGGUGGCGAGUGGCGGACGGGUGAGGUAUACAUCGGAAUCUACUUUUUCGUGGGGGAUAACGUCGGGAAACUUACGCUAAUACAGCAUACGACCUACGGGUGAAAGCACGGGAUCUUCGGACCUUGCGCGAUUGAAUGAGCCGAUCUCGGGUUAGCUAGUUGGCGGGGUAAAGGGCUACCAAGGCCACGCUCCGUACCUGGUAUGAGCGGAUGAACAGCCAGACUGGAACUGAGGCACGGCACAGACUCCGACGGGAGGCAGCAGUCGGGAAUAUUGGACAAUGGAGGCAAGGCUGAUCCAGCCAUACCGCGUGGGUGAAGAAGGACUUCGGGUUGUAAAGCCCUGUUGGUGGGAAAGAAAUACAGCAGGUUAAUACCCCGCGGUUAUGACGGUACCCGAAGAAUAAGCACCGGCUAACUUCGUG
This 492-nucleotide ribosomal RNA is filed under the name uncultured bacterium. RNAcentral describes it as "partial 16S ribosomal RNA". It matches the Rfam family "Bacterial small subunit ribosomal RNA", at positions 29 to 507 of the family's 1533-position model. The record is from RNAcentral.